This 106-nucleotide non-coding RNA is filed under the name Mesocricetus auratus (golden hamster). RNAcentral's name for it is "Eukaryotic large subunit ribosomal RNA". It matches the Rfam family "Eukaryotic large subunit ribosomal RNA", at positions 836 to 941 of the family's 3401-position model. The record is from Rfam by way of RNAcentral. Lineage: Eukaryota; Metazoa; Chordata; Mammalia; Rodentia; Cricetidae.
GGUGAACAGGGUGAAACCAGAGGAAACACUGGUGGAAGUCUGUAGGAGUUCUGAUGUGCAAAUUGGUCAUCAGACCUGGAUAUAGGAGCAAAAGACUAAUUGAACC